UACGUAGGGCGCAAGCGUUGUCCGGAAUUAUUGGGCGUAAAGAGCUCGUAGGCGGCUUGUUGCGUCGACCGUGAAAACCCGGGGCUCAACUUCGGGCUUGCGGUCGAUACGGGCGGGCUAGAGUUCGGUAGGGGAGACUGGAAUUCCUGGUGUAGCGGUGAAAUGCGCAGAUAUCAGGAGGAACACCGGUGGCGAAGGCGGGUCUCUGGGCCGAUACUGACGCUGAGGAGCGAAAGCGUGGGGAGCGAACAGG
Molecule: ribosomal RNA, 253 nt
Filed under: uncultured bacterium
Lineage: Bacteria
Description: partial 16S ribosomal RNA
Rfam family: Bacterial small subunit ribosomal RNA
Source: RNAcentral